Neofelis nebulosa (Clouded leopard) is the source of this 3165-nucleotide long non-coding RNA. RefSeq lists it as uncharacterized. The transcript is spliced from 4 exons. Lineage: Eukaryota; Metazoa; Chordata; Mammalia; Carnivora; Felidae. The record is from RefSeq and is a predicted model, not a curated record.
UCGGGGUCGGCGCCAGAGGCCCAGAGGCUCUGGCCUGAUGGAGGCGAGGCAGGCUCUGUGGCCUCCCCGGGUCAGUCCGAGUUUAGUCUGCGGAGGCGACGGCGGGGGAGCUGGCCGGGGCCAAGAUGGACCCCAAACCAGACAGGCGCUUUCCUCCCCCCCCACCCCCCCACUCGCGCCUUAGUCCCUGCCCAUAUUGCCCGUCUCCGGUAGGACUAUCUGCCCGGCUUCUGUCUGCUGCCAACCUUGCCCGAAACCUAGACCCCAGACUUGGGGGACUCAGUUCAUUCUAUGGAAUUGGAACGACCUUGGGAAUAAUCUCAGGAUGACGUGCUGCCCAGUACAGCUCCUGGGAAGCUCUAGGAUGUGGCUUUAAACUGGAAAAACUCUUGGGAGCUGGGUUUGAUAUGGCAUGGUCUCUGAGGCAUCCCUAGUCUGAAGUUCUUCCAGGAAGUCUGCCAAGCUAAACCACAAAGGAUGAGCAGCUCAGAGCUUAGCGAGUGCUUCCUAGCUGCCCCCCAGGAGUGCUGGGAGCGAGCCUGGAGAGCUUCCCAGAAGACCUGAAAGGCCGCAGCAGCAUCGCUUACAGAAACGGCCCUGGAUAACGUUCGUUUUGGAUUCAUCUUCUGGAUUUGUGAUCUUGGGCGAGUUACUUCUUUUCCUCCAUUUCUCCAUAUGGAAAACUAGAGGAGUAAUACCUACCUUACAAAUAUUGCUUUUAUGAGAAACAAAGGAGAUGAUGUUUGUAAAGUGUUUGCUAAGUGUAAAAUGCUUAUCCCACUUAAAUCUAUCAUAGUAGUUAAAAGUGUGCCAUUAGCUUGAAUCUUGGCUCUCAACUGGGAAUAAUAAUUGUGCUUACUGCUCAUUCAGUGUUGUUGGGAGGGAACUACUACGUAUAAAACAGGUGGGCCAAUUCUGGAUGCAUUUACAUGCUUUUUGUUAUUAUUACUCUACGCACCCUUAUUUUCACUCAGAAGCAGACCAAAUGGACAUACUUAAUAUAUAUUGUAAGAAUGAUAGAGAAAUGAGAUUAAUUUUUAAAAAUGAAAUGAAAAGAAUAAAUACAUAUUGUUUUGAAUAUGCAAUAUUUAAGUUAUACAUGUUAUGAGGUGAUAAAAAUCAUUUCAUUUAUAGCAAUAUUAACUGAAAGAAACAAUUUUGAUCAUUUCAGUGUGUAUGUUCCUUGGUCAGGCUCUUGUGAGCCCAAAAUGAGAUGGCCUUUGAAAGUCUUUCUGGCUUUGGCUGGAGAUAAUGUUUUUAAUGGGAGAGUGUUUUGUAUUACCUGAUGGGUUUUAACUUCUUGAACAUCUUUAGUAAUUACCAUGUGCAGCAUUAGCUAGAUAGCUUUCAAACUUUCAUAGUUAUUCUUUAUUAAUCUUCUAAAAAGAUUGUGUUUUAUGCUAUAUGUAAAUAUGCGAGCUUAUAUGCUCUUUAAGAUGAGAUGAAAGGGAAUGAUUUCAUUCUAUAUUAGAAAAACUAGGUUAGUGCUUCCCGAAUGUUAGUUAACAGGUACAAUGAAGAUCAUAACCAAACACAAUGAAAAUAUUCCUCUGGUCAAGUUUGAGAAAAAACACUAGAUUAAUUAAAACUCCAAAAUACAGCUUUUAUUGUAUCACUUCUCAAAAUCUUUAACAUAUUAAUGUGUAAGGAGAAUCUCUAAAGAUGGCAGUAGUAUGUUUGCUAAAUAUUAUUUGACCACUAAGACCUUUUCCUGAGGAGCUAUUGUUAAGGAAUAUAUUUUGGUAAGUGUGAGGCUGGAAGAUUAUUGUGUUUUUCGUCUUUGUUUUUAAAUGAGAGAAAACACAGUUCAUAUGAGUUUAGAAUUUUCUACCAUAUUUGCAUCUAGUUUGCUCAAUUCUAUUGGGGACAUCCUUGCAAAGCUACCUUACCAGACAAUUUCCAGGGAUAAGGGACUGUGGUUCCUGGCCUCUCCCUUUCUUCCUUCUCCUAUUUUAAAAGUACAAAUGAUUCCAUAGACUAGGCCAAGGAAACUUCCAGUUUUGCCCCUAAGAGGGUCUGAUCCUGAAGAUGGAGAGAAAAAGUAGCAUCUGAGAUUUAAAGAUGAGCAGGAGGCAGUAUUCGAAACAAAAGUGGUAUCCACAAGAACAGCCUUGGAACUCCGAAAAAUUAUUUUAAGGGGAAAAUUAGAGGCGUCAAUAAACUCAAGAAGGAGAUAAUGAUGACAAUCAUUUUAUCAUGUGAAGGAGAGAAACAAUAGAAAAAGUAAAGCUCAAUUGAUGAUCCUUUUGUUUUGUCUUGUUUUUGUUUUUGUUUUGUUUCAUUCUUCCUACCUUGACACUUUGACAUUUGGGGCCAGAGAAUUCUACCUUGUAGAGGACUGCCCUGUGUACUAUAGUGUCUCUGGCCUCUACACACCAGAUUCCAGUAGCACCUCAUCCCCCACAAUGGGAUCCCCCAAAGUGUCUCCAGACACUGCUGAAUGUCUUCUGGCGGGGGGGCAAAAUUGACCUCAGUUGAGAACCAUUGGUCUUUCCCUUUCCCACAGUAUUUUCUCCUUUGGUGCUAGAAGGUGAAUACAGAAAAUGGAAGGGCAUCAUGCUGUAAAUGUUCAUGUGAAUAAUACAAUACAACCGCAAAUACGUUCAAGAGAGAUAACACUUCUUUAAUAGGUUUUCUGUCAUUUCUCUAAGUCGCACUCUGGAAGUAUGGGAUCACUUUUUAAUCUCGCAGUAGCUGAGUUAUUUUUUUAUUCUUUUGCCCGGACUGAUUGCUAUUUUCACGUAAAAGACAAUUAGUAAAACAUUCACUUCUUUUUCUUUUCUUUUUUUUUUUUUUUUUGUCUUAAAGCAUUUAAGAUGGAAUCACUAAAACUGUGGCUUAAAAUAUCUCCUGGUUGGUGUAAUCUUUCUGGAAUUAACAAACAUUAGUCAUUGAGAUAAAAUAAGUGGUUGCCGAAUAUGUUGGUUAAAGCUAUAAACCUAAUGAAAUAAAAUGGAAUACGGUACCUUGCCUAUUUAUAUUUUUACAUUCUUUUGGGCUAUAAAUUCACACCUAUUUUUCUGUCUCUCAAUGGUUUCCACCUUUUAUAUUGGUGUUUGGGACUCUAAGACUAGAAAUGAAGCUGUCCAUGAUAGGUUAGAAAAGAGAGAAUCUGAAAAUAAACUUGUAGUUUCCUAGCACAAUUGAGGCUAAAAAUGUGCAUUA